GGUAAGUUCCGACCUGCACGAAUGGUGAAAUGAUUUGAGAGCUGUCUUGGCUGGAGGCCUGGUGAAGUUGUAAUGUCGGUGAAGAUACCGACUACCUGCAGUAGGACGGAAAGACCCCGUGGAGCUUUACUGUAGCUUGGCAUUGGGUUUUGGCAAUGUGUGUAUAGGAUAGUUGGGAGACUAUGAAGUAAUGGCGUCAGUUGUUACAGAGUCGCUGUUGGAAUACCAACCAUAUGUUGUUGAAAUUCUAAUCUGGUAUCGGAGACAGUGCUAGG
This 275-nucleotide ribosomal RNA is filed under the name Lachnoanaerobaculum sp. RNAcentral describes it as "partial 23S ribosomal RNA". It matches the Rfam family "Bacterial large subunit ribosomal RNA", at positions 1975 to 2261 of the family's 2925-position model. Lineage: Bacteria; Bacillati; Bacillota; Clostridia; Lachnospirales; Lachnospiraceae. The record is from RNAcentral.